UACUGGGCCUGUGAUGGCUGGCGCGCGGGGCAGGGAGGCAGAAAUAACACAUAAAGAUGCCCGACGAUCCCUGACCCUGAAGAGAACGCCGGCCUAGAGUAUUACCUUCUAUGACCGCUGUAUUGACACUCGGAGAGUGGGGCAAGAUGCGGCGGGUACGGGCGGUGGAGGGACCGGAUAUCUCAGACUCAAGACUACUCGUCAGAAGGAAAGGCGAUCCACCAUUUUGAAAACAGUUUGGUCGCAACGCCACUGGGGUCCGAACAGUCGUAUGUGGUGACCAUCUCAGACGGUGGUGACUCCCAAGUGAUGAAUGAAUCGUCUAAGCAGUUUGGGUCAACGUCCUUUUGUAUGUCAUCGAGUUACAACGCCGCAGGGAUACGUACAUGACGAUUACGUCAGACGAUGGCGGUUCCAGUAGGUCAAUCUUCGAAGCAGCUGCGGGUAAACGUCUUUCGGUAUAUCGUCAAGGUCAACCUACCGGACAAGAGCGACGACGGCGAGGUGUUCCUGACAGACGUAUAUCAUGUCCAUCAGGACGACGCAUUCCCGCCACACCCAACAUAGAGACUCUUACCGCCACAAGGGAAGUAGGUCGAGACCCUUCAGGAGAAGUGGUCAUCGCUGAGAGGAGCCAGAAUAUACGUUUGUGCGGCUUGAAAAUUCUGAACAGAGGGGAGCCACACAACAUCCAGAACAGCGCCAUCGACAGAAGGAGGGCAACAUGAGGGAAGUAGAGGCCAGUAGCAGAGCCAAGACGUACAGCCGAUAGAUUGCGAUCAUACUUGUAGAUGUAUAGAAAACCUGA
Branchiostoma floridae (Florida lancelet) is the source of this 808-nucleotide long non-coding RNA. RefSeq lists it as uncharacterized. NCBI's taxonomy places the organism in Eukaryota, Metazoa, Chordata, Leptocardii, Amphioxiformes, Branchiostomatidae. The transcript is spliced from 4 exons. The record is from RefSeq and is a predicted model, not a curated record.